UACGUAGGUGGCAAGCGUUGUCCGGGUUUAUUGGGUUUAAAGGGUGCGUAGGCGGCCCUGUAAGUCAGUGGUGAAAUACUCUAGCUUAACUAGAGGGGUGCCAAUGAUACUGCAGGGCUUGAGUACAGAUGAGGUAGGCGGAAUUGACGGUGUAGCGGUGAAAUGCAUAGAUAUCGUCAAGAACACCGAUAGCGAAGGCAGCUUACUGGGCUGUAACUGACGCUGAUGCGCGAAAGCCAGGGGAGCAAACGGG
Molecule: ribosomal RNA, 253 nt
Filed under: uncultured bacterium
Lineage: Bacteria
Description: partial 16S ribosomal RNA
Rfam family: Bacterial small subunit ribosomal RNA
Source: RNAcentral